AAUCCAUGAUGUGGACAAAUGUUUGUCAGUUCCUUAAACCUUUCCCAACAAGCUUGGAAAGUCUCAUCACCUUUCUGCGUAAAUUGAAUGAUUUGCUCUUGCAGAAACU
Small nucleolar RNA from Malania oleifera, 109 nucleotides. Lineage: Eukaryota; Viridiplantae; Streptophyta; Magnoliopsida; Santalales; Ximeniaceae. The record is from RefSeq and is a predicted model, not a curated record.